AUUAUUUUGGCAGAGUCAAUGCGUAGAAUUUAGGUUUCUAUAAUUUUUAUGUUUUUAAACGUAUUAAAAUAAUA
RNAcentral lists this transfer RNA (74 nucleotides) under Arctopsyche spinescens. RNAcentral describes it as "tRNA-Leu". The record is from RNAcentral. Lineage: Eukaryota; Metazoa; Arthropoda; Insecta; Trichoptera; Hydropsychidae.